AAGUGAGUUUUGCCUAUCCCCUUCCAUCAGAAUCACCUGGUGAGCUUGUUAGAGAACAGAUUCUCAGGAACCACACCAGGAUUUCGGAUUUAGAAUUGAUGGUGGUUGAGCCUAGACUCUGUAUUUUUAACAAGCUCCCUAUGUGAUUCUUUUUCAUGCUAAAAUUUGAGAGCAUCUGGCCUCCAGAUCAAGUGCAAACACUUCAGAAUUGCUGGUAAGUACCAUCUGACUCUGGCUUAGCGCCUUCUUUCCCUCAAUUCUUUCUACUCUUUCACCUCCCCUCUGCACUCCAGCUUUUUGGAGGGAGAUUUCAUGUUUGCUGGCAUCUCUACCAAUAAGCACACCAAUCGAAGUGGAAUUCAAAAAGGCUGUUUUGGUCACUUACCAAACCUCUCAUCAGAGAAAUGUUGGAAGAAGUAAUUUAAUUGAAAUCUCUAUAUGAUGAGAAGACUGUGCUCAGAGAUGGUAAGAAACUCAGAAGAGGCACCUGGUGAAUAGGAGAUGUCUGGAACUUGAAUGCAGAUGCCUUUCCAGUGGAGCUAACAAAAAACAAAACAAAAUAAAACAGUCUCCAACAUACUAAACAGCUGUCGCCAAGAUCAGAAAGCAUCAGAAAAGACCCUAAAAGAGUUGUCUAAUCCCCAAGGAAGAGCUUGUUUAAGUGCAGAAGUGCUUGCAGCAGAAACUUUCGAAAUUUCAGGGAGUGGAAUUUUAUUGUCAGAACUUUCAAUAAAAGUGCAGCUGCAGAUCCUGGGAGCAUUAAAUAAAAAUUGCCAACAAGCUGUCUUACCUGUGUGCACUCCACGGAAAGAAAGGGCAAUUGUGAGCAAGUCGCGCUUGUACGUCAGUCAAAACUCUGACAGCUACCCUGUGAAGUUUGACAAGCUGCCAUGUGCUCGACUACCUAAGAUACUCUUAACUGAACCAUAAAAAGACAAAUAAAUUAGUAAUUGUAUCCCUCCUGUCAAUGUCCUUUUUCGUGAACUUCUCAAGCUGUUGGUUAACAUUGUCUGGAAUGACUUACCAAUGUAUUCUUAGCUUUCUUAGAAAAGGCAGAUACACUUGAUUUUUUCCAAAUUGUUUUUUGAAUUGAUUUAAGAAAAUGAUACAGAUAUUACCCAUUUCUGGACCUCUCGUUUUACUCCCUGGUCUGCCUCCUCCCAUUAGGAAAUCAGACCAAUAAGAUUAACAUAAUCUUUCUUGGAAUUGACUGUUCUUUUUAAAUAGAUCCCAUGAUAGACAUGUGUAAAAAUCAAUAACAGGCUCCUCAUUUGUCAAAGCUAAUGACUAAACUCAUUUUGAAGUUCAAUAGUGGUUACUGAAGAGUGGCCACACAUUAUAUAUCUAAUCCUGUAGGUCUCUCCACUUAUUCCGCAGAAGAACAGAGAAAAAGGAGCCUUUGUUCCUUGAGGCACAAUAAAAAAGCUUGUGUCUCC
Molecule: long non-coding RNA, 1436 nt
Filed under: Equus asinus (donkey)
Lineage: Eukaryota; Metazoa; Chordata; Mammalia; Perissodactyla; Equidae
Description: lncRNA (ENSEASG00005036569.1)
Source: RNAcentral